ACGCCGUGACUGCGCCGAUUAUAGCAGGAUCGGGGGAGAGAUCCCCGACACGGCGU
This 56-nucleotide non-coding RNA is filed under the name unclassified sequences. The record is from RNAcentral.